Molecule: ribosomal RNA, 253 nt
Filed under: uncultured bacterium
Lineage: Bacteria
Description: partial 16S ribosomal RNA
Rfam family: Bacterial small subunit ribosomal RNA
Source: RNAcentral
UACGUAGGGGGCAAGCGUUGUCCGGAAUUACUGGGCGUAAAGCGCGUGUAGGCGGGAGAGCAAGUCCGGUGGGAAAGCCCGCGGCUCAACCGCGGAAGGUCGCUGGAAACUGCUUUUCUUGAGGGUGAUAGAGGGAAGUGGAAUUGCUGGUGUAGCGGUGAAAUGCGUAGAUAUCAGCAGGAACACCCGUGGCGAAGGCGGCUUCCUGGAUCACCCCUGACACUGAGACGCGAAAGCGUGGGGAGCGAACGGG